Molecule: transfer RNA, 73 nt
Filed under: Camelus bactrianus (Bactrian camel)
Lineage: Eukaryota; Metazoa; Chordata; Mammalia; Artiodactyla; Camelidae
Also listed under: 2 other names
Rfam family: tRNA
About the family: Transfer RNA (tRNA) molecules are approximately 80 nucleotides in length. Their secondary structure includes four short double-helical elements and three loops (D, anti-codon, and T loops).
Source: Rfam by way of RNAcentral
GAGGGUGUAGCUCAAGUGGUAGAGUGCAUGCUUAGCAUGCGUGAGGCCCUGGGUUCAAUCCCCAGUACCUCCU